GAAAAUCUAACUGGCCAUGAAUGGAGAUUAUCAUUUUCACAAGCAGAAAAUGCAUUAAUAAGAUCAUUUAACCACACCCAGUUAAUGACAUAUGGUGCGUUGAAAAUUCUAUUUCAAGAGAUUUUUAAUGAAACGAGAUGCGGUUAUGAAUGUGCAUUUGCGUCAUAUAUACUGAAAACAGCAGUAUUUUGGGUAUCUGAAGAUCAUGAACUAAUUGUAUGGCAGCCAUCAAAUAUAAUACUAUGUAUUACGUUAUGUAUUGAAUAUCUAAGGAAAUGUGUAAAAACUAUGAAUUGUCCUAAUUUUUUCGUUCUUACAAGCAAUAUGUACCUAGACAAAUAUCCAAAAGAAUCAAUUGCAGAACUUUUAGAAAUUUUAAAUGCAGUCAGUUCAAACAUUUUGCGAUUGAUCUGGCAGGC
This 419-nucleotide long non-coding RNA is filed under the name Mytilus galloprovincialis (Mediterranean mussel). Lineage: Eukaryota; Metazoa; Mollusca; Bivalvia; Mytilida; Mytilidae. The record is from RNAcentral.